Molecule: ribosomal RNA, 490 nt
Filed under: uncultured bacterium
Lineage: Bacteria
Description: partial 16S ribosomal RNA
Rfam family: Bacterial small subunit ribosomal RNA
Source: RNAcentral
AUUGAACGCUGGCGGCAUGCCUUACACAUGCAAGUCGAACGGCAUCGCGGGAAAGCUUGCUUUCCUGGCGGCGAGUGGCGCACGUGUGUGUAACACAUCGGAACGUACCGGCUAGCUGGGGAUACCCCGUCGAAAGACGGCCUAAUACCGCAUACGCACUUCGGAGGAAAGCAGGGGACCUUUAGGCCUUGUGCCUGUCGAGCGGCCGUUGUCCGAUUAGCUAGUUGGUGGGGUAAAGGCCUACCAAGGCGACGAUCGGUAGCGGGUCUGAGAGGACGAUCCGCCACACUGGGACUGAGACACGGCCCAGACUCCUACGGGAGGCAGCAGUGGGGAAUCUUGGACAAUGGGGGCAAGCCUGAUCCAGCAAUGCCGCGUGGGUGAAGAAGGCCUUCGGGUUGUAAAGCCCUUUCGGCAGGGAAGAAAUCGGCGGGGCGAAUAACCCUGCUGGAUGACGGUACCUGCAGAAGAAGCACCGGCUAACUACGUG